This 457-nucleotide ribosomal RNA is filed under the name uncultured bacterium. RNAcentral describes it as "partial 16S ribosomal RNA". It matches the Rfam family "Bacterial small subunit ribosomal RNA", at positions 338 to 795 of the family's 1533-position model. The record is from RNAcentral.
CCUACGGGUGGCAGCAGUGGGGAAUAUUGCACAAUGGGGGAAACCCUGAUGCAGCGACGCCGCGUGAGUGAAGAAGUAUUUCGGUAUGUAAAGCUCUAUCAGCAGGGAAGAAAUAGCGACCUUUGGGUCGCCAGACGGUACCUGACUAAGAAGCCCGGCCAACUACGUGCCAGCAGCCGCGGGAAUACGUAGGGGGCAAGCGUUAUCCGGAUUUACUGGGUGUAAAGGGAGCGUAGACGGCAGCGCAAGUCUGUAGUGAAAGGCCGGGGCUUAACCCCGGAACUGCUUUGGAAACUGUGCAGCUAGAGUGCAGGAGAGGUAAGUGGAAUUCCUAGUGUAGCGGUGAAAUGCGUAGAUAUUAGGAGGAACACCAGUGGCGAAGGCGGCUUACUGGACUGUAACUGACGUUGAGGCUCGAAAGCGUGGGGAGCAAACAGGAUUAGAUACCCCAGUAGUC